Molecule: transfer RNA, 93 nt
Filed under: Strigamia maritima
Lineage: Eukaryota; Metazoa; Arthropoda; Chilopoda; Geophilomorpha; Linotaeniidae
Description: tRNA-Tyr for anticodon GUA
Rfam family: tRNA
About the family: Transfer RNA (tRNA) molecules are approximately 80 nucleotides in length.
Source: Rfam by way of RNAcentral
CCGUCGAUAGCUCAGUUGGUAGAGCGGUGGACUGUAGUGGUGUGUUAGUCUGUAGUUAUCCAUAGGUCGCUGGUUCAAAUCCGGCUCGACGGA